RNAcentral lists this ribosomal RNA (467 nucleotides) under uncultured bacterium. Its description in RNAcentral is "partial 16S ribosomal RNA". It matches the Rfam family "Bacterial small subunit ribosomal RNA", at positions 28 to 507 of the family's 1533-position model. The record is from RNAcentral.
GACGAACGCUGGCGGCGUGCUUAACACAUGCAAGUCGAACGGAAAGGCUCCAGCUUGCUGGAGUACUCGAGUGGCGAACGGGUGAGUAACACGUGGGUAAUCUGCCCUGCACUCUAGGAUAAGCCUGGGAAACUGGGUCUAAUACUGGAUAUGACCUUUCUCCUUAUGGGGUUUGGUGGAAAGUUUUUCGGUGUAGGAUGAGCCCGCGGCCUAUCAGCUUGUUGGUGGGGUGAUGGCCUACCAAGGCGACGACGGGUAGCCGGCCUGAGAGGGUGAUCGGCCACAUUGGGACGGAGAUACGGCCCAGACUCCUACGGGAGGCAGCAGUGGGGAAUAUUGCACAAUGGGCGGAAGCCUGAUGCAGCGACGCCGCGUGAGGGAUGACGGCCUUCGGGUUGUAAACCUCUUUCAGCAGGGACGAAGCGUAAGUGACGGUACCUGCAGAAGAAGCACCGGCUAACUAUGUG